RNA transcript from Arabidopsis lyrata subsp. lyrata, 943 nucleotides. It is a transcript of the gene named soluble inorganic pyrophosphatase 6, chloroplastic-like, with no coding region annotated. Lineage: Eukaryota; Viridiplantae; Streptophyta; Magnoliopsida; Brassicales; Brassicaceae. The transcript is spliced from 3 exons. The record is from RefSeq and is a predicted model, not a curated record.
GAGUCGACUCUCUUAAGGGAGUUUUGGGAAUCAAAGAGAACCGCACACGUGGCAGACUGUGAUUGGUUGCUUGAAUUUAACAAAAGAAAAAAAAAAACUUGUGUUUUCUUAUCAAAACACCGUAGACGCCAACACUCCUCCGAUCCCUUUGAUUCUUCUUAAUCCGAUUCCUCCAGGUCCGUUGAUUUCUUAUCAACUUCUCUCGUUGAGGUUAACAACAGCUGCAGCAGCAUCCGCUAGCCAAACAACAACGUCGUGUUUGUUUAUAAAACGACCUUUUGUUCUUCCUACGCGUAAAGUCUGUGGCUUUAACGGUCUCUGUUUCAACAAGAGAGCUUCCUUAGUGGUGAAAUCGAAGAGACCCUUUUCUUGUAAUGCCAUUUACAAUCCUCAGGUUCAGACAAUUCAAGAAUACCAAUCUGAAACCUUUGACUACAUAGUUUUCUUUCAAGAUGGCUCCGGAAAGAAGUAUCUCCAUGGCAUGAUAUACCAUUGCAUUUAGGAGAUGGUGUUUUUCAUUUUAUAGUGGAAAUUCCUAAGGAGUCAAGAGCUAAAAUGGAGGUUGCUACUGAUGAAGCUUUCACUCCUAUUAAGCAAGACACUAAGAAAAGGAAGCUCAGAUAUUAUCCGUAAGACAAGAUUCUGUAUUUGCAUCAUCUUGUAAUGAUCUCUUUAGAUUGAUUAGCUAAAAGACUUUUAUGUCUUCAUGGACUUUUCUAAAACAGUUAAAAGAUAAUCUCUGCAAUUUUCUAAUCAUUGAGCAUGUGACUGAGAUUGUUUACCGUAUAUGAGACUUGUACAAGAACACAAAAGAGAAGAACAAUGAAGGAAUUUGAGCUUAACUUAGGUUUCUUGCGUCGACAUCUUCUCAGCUUCUCUCAUUACAUAUUGGACAUUUUGGAGACAUGUUUUUACCAUAUAAUGUUUCUGCAGCUUUUGGUUA